CCUGUGGAUCGUUAUACAAACGAGAGUAGUCUAAAGACGAAUAUGUCUUUAAUAAAAUCGGACGGGAUGAAAUAGGAA
The submitters of this non-coding RNA (78 nucleotides) gave its source as unclassified sequences. The record is from Rfam.